UUCCGGAUGGCGCAGUGGUUAACGCACUUGCCUAGCAAGCAGGAGGUCCUGGGUUCGAAUCCCUAUCCGGAGC
Non-coding RNA from Schistocerca gregaria, 73 nucleotides. Lineage: Eukaryota; Metazoa; Arthropoda; Insecta; Orthoptera; Acrididae. The record is from the annotation of a RefSeq genome assembly.